Molecule: ribosomal RNA, 463 nt
Filed under: uncultured bacterium
Lineage: Bacteria
Description: SSU rRNA
Rfam family: Bacterial small subunit ribosomal RNA
Source: RNAcentral
AGAAUCAACGCUGGCGGCGUGCCUAACACAUGCAAGUCGCACGAGAAAGGGUAGCAAUACCUGAGUAAAGUGGCGCACGGGUGAGUAACACGUGAAUUAUCUACCUCCGAGUGGGGAAUAACUGAGAGAAAUCUUAGCUAAUACCGCAUAACACUUACGAGUCAAAGCAGCAAUGCGCUUGGAGAGGAGUUCGCGGCAGAUUAGUUAGUUGGCGGGGUAAUGGCCCACCAAGACGAUGAUCUGUAUCCGGCCUGAGAGGGCGCACGGACACACUGGAACUGAAACACGGUCCAGACUCCUACGGGAGGCAGCAGUGGGGAAUUUUGCGCAAUGGGGGAAACCCUGACGCAGCAACGCCGCGUGGAGGAUGAAAUAUCUUGGUAUGUAAACUCCUUUCGAUGGGGAAGAUUAUGACGGUACCCAUAGAAGAGCCCGGCUAACUUCGCGCCAGCAGCCGCGGUAA